Molecule: long non-coding RNA, 719 nt
Organism: Neltuma alba
Lineage: Eukaryota; Viridiplantae; Streptophyta; Magnoliopsida; Fabales; Fabaceae
Exons: 6
Source: RefSeq, a predicted model, not a curated record
AUGCCAAAAAAAUCUGAAAAACUCUGAUGCUAGCGAAAAGUCAACUAUAUAUCCUGAACGGAAGACAGUUCAAGCAGGAAAUUCAUCGAAGGCUGAGGUCCAAUACCAAGCUUCACGCCCAUCAUUUGAUAGUCAAAAGCAGGCCUCUACAAGCUCCAUUGUUGGGCAUGCUGACCAUACACAAGGAACUUCAAGAAUAGAAAAUUCAACUGCAUCACAGGUUGGACGCCAGACUUCAGAACCAUCAUUUGAUAGUCGCAAGGCUUUUACAGGCUCUAUCAUAGAGCAUGCUGAGAAUUUACAGAAAACUUCAAGAGAACAAAAUUCAACGUCAUCACUGGUUUCUGGUUCACAACCUUCGAAACCAGUCUCGAGAUUCAAAAUGCAGAGAAAGUAGCUGCAAUAUUUGGAAAAUGUUAGGUUCUUUAAGUUGGCAAUGGUGAUGGCGUCCAUAUUCGGUCAAGGUCAACGAUGUCUUUGUUAGAAUCAAAAGGGAAAGAGUUAUUGUAGGAUAAACCAAGAGGGAAAUGAGCAUCAAUGUUCAUUGGUAAAAGUGAACUGGGGGGGUUUUAGGAAUUGCUGAUGUUCCUGGACUAUGAUUACGAGUCAACAAAUUUUGCUACUAGUAUUUGCUCACGUGGAAUUGGAACACAGACACUUUAUUAGCUAUAUAGAAUUUUCUUUUUUUUUCGUAAUAAAAUAUAUAGAAUUUCUCGUAA